CGACCUUUGUGGCGUUGAAAAAUGUGGUCCGACCUUUGGCGUCUCUUUUGUCCAAUAUGUUAUCCGGGAGUGAUCCGGCGGAAUCCGAACGAGUGAGACGUUUCUUAUUUAUGAGUGGGGAUUGAGAGUAACCUGAUUUUGAUCGAUAUGAUAAGGAGAUGCAUAUACAUACAUCACUUCAGAUUGUUACAGUCCUGCCCCGGGCAAAGCUGUGGACAUAUCAUAAGACACCACUGGGAAUCCAGGCACACAACAUGAAGUUAAUAAAUAAUCCGGUUCCGGUUUUUGAGUUAUUCUCUCCAACACCUCAAAGAAUCUUCCAUUGCUUGAAAAUGUAAACGAAUCCUGGCGUUGACAACACCCCUGAGCCUUGGCGCAUAUAGAUGCAUUAAUUGCUCCAACUUUGGUAUUGAUCUUAUUAUAUAAACAACCUUGUAUUAAA
Molecule: long non-coding RNA, 442 nt
Organism: Magallana angulata
Lineage: Eukaryota; Metazoa; Mollusca; Bivalvia; Ostreida; Ostreidae
Exons: 4
Source: RefSeq, a predicted model, not a curated record